AUACUCUGGUUUCUCUUCAGAUCGUAUAAAUCUUUCGCCUUUUACUAAAGAAACUGAAGAGGAAUA
Molecule: small nuclear RNA, 66 nt
Filed under: Cervus elaphus hippelaphus
Lineage: Eukaryota; Metazoa; Chordata; Mammalia; Artiodactyla; Cervidae
Rfam family: U5 spliceosomal RNA
About the family: U5 RNA is a component of both types of known spliceosome. The precise function of this molecule is unknown, though it is known that the 5' loop is required for splice site selection and p220 binding, and that both the 3' stem-loop and the Sm site are important for Sm protein binding and cap methylation.
Source: RNAcentral